This 74-nucleotide transfer RNA is filed under the name Thermoplasmata archaeon. Its description in RNAcentral is "tRNA-Lys". It matches the Rfam family "tRNA". From Rfam's summary of the family: Transfer RNA (tRNA) molecules are approximately 80 nucleotides in length. Their secondary structure includes four short double-helical elements and three loops (D, anti-codon, and T loops). Lineage: Archaea; Methanobacteriati; Thermoplasmatota; Thermoplasmata. The record is from RNAcentral. RNAcentral also lists the same sequence under 4 other names.
GGGCCCGUAGCUCAGCUAGGUAGAGCAUCUGGCUUUUAACCAGGUGGUCCGGGGUUCGAAUCCCCGCGGGCCCG